This 63-nucleotide small RNA is filed under the name Calothrix sp. 336/3. RNAcentral's name for it is "Nitrogen stress-induced RNA 1". It matches the Rfam family "Nitrogen stress-induced RNA 1". The record is from Rfam by way of RNAcentral. Lineage: Bacteria; Bacillati; Cyanobacteriota; Cyanophyceae; Nostocales; Calotrichaceae.
UGGUAGAUGCACCCUGAUAACUCACUCCCUUGGCUAGUUAUAUACUUACCAAGGGAUUUUUGU